RNAcentral lists this ribosomal RNA (479 nucleotides) under uncultured bacterium. Its description in RNAcentral is "bacterial SSU rRNA". It matches the Rfam family "Archaeal small subunit ribosomal RNA", at positions 724 to 1203 of the family's 1478-position model. The record is from RNAcentral.
AGCGAAUAGAUACCCCGGUAGUCCCAGCCGUAAACGAUGCUCGCUAGGUGUCAGGCAUGGCGCGACCGUGUCUGGUGCCGCAGGGAAGCCGUGAAGCGAGCCACCUGGGAAGUACGGCCGCAAGGCUGAAACUUAAAGGAAUUGGCGGGGAGCACAACAACGGGUGGAGCCUGCGGUUUAAUUGGACUCAACGCCGGACAACUCACCGGGGGCGACAGCACUAUGUAGGCCAGGCUGAAGACCUUGCCUGAAUCGCUGAGAGGAGGUGCAUGGCCGUCGCCAGUUCGUACUGUGAAGCAUCCUGUUAAGUCAGGCAACGAGCGAGACCCGUGCCCACUGUUACCAGCAUGUCCUCCGGGACGAUGGGUACUCUGUGGGGACCGCCGGUGUUAAAUCGGAGGAAGGUGCGGGCCACGGUAGGUCAGUAUGCCCCGAAUCUCCCGGGCUACACGCGGGCUACAAUGGAUGGGACAAUGGGU